UUACGGCCACAUCACGUUGAAACCCCGGUUCCCGUACGAUCACCGAAGUUAACCAACGUCGAGUCUAGUCAGUACCUAGAUGGUUAACUACUUAGGAAUAAUGAGAGCUGUAAG
Acanthosepion pharaonis is the source of this 114-nucleotide non-coding RNA. The record is from the annotation of a GenBank genome assembly. Lineage: Eukaryota; Metazoa; Mollusca; Cephalopoda; Sepiida; Sepiidae.